This 428-nucleotide ribosomal RNA is filed under the name Verrucomicrobiota bacterium. Its description in RNAcentral is "Verrucomicrobia bacterium partial 16S ribosomal RNA". It matches the Rfam family "Bacterial small subunit ribosomal RNA", at positions 355 to 776 of the family's 1533-position model. The record is from RNAcentral. Lineage: Bacteria; Pseudomonadati; Verrucomicrobiota.
UAGGGAAUCUUCCGCAAUGGACGAAAGUCUGACGGAGCAACGCCGCGUGAGUGAAGAAGGAUUUCGGUUCGUAAAACUCUGUUGUUAGGGAAGAAAAAAUGUAUAGUAACUAUAUACAAAAGAGACGGUACCUAACCAGAAAGCCACGGCUAACUACGUGCCAGCAGCCGCGGUAAUACGUAGGUGGCAAGCGUUGUCCGGAAUUAUUGGGCGUAAAGCGCGCGCAGGCGGUCACUUAAGUCCAUCUUAGAAGAGCGGGGCUUAACCCCGUGAUGGGAUGGAAACUGAGAGACUGGAGUAUCGGAGAGGAAAGUGGAAUUCCUAGUGUAGCGGUGAAAUGCGUAGAUAUUAGGAAGAACACCGGUGGCGAAGGCGACUUUCUGGACGAAAACUGACGCUGAGGCGCGAAAGCGUGGGGAGCAAACAGG